Molecule: long non-coding RNA, 733 nt
Organism: Oncorhynchus keta (chum salmon)
Lineage: Eukaryota; Metazoa; Chordata; Actinopteri; Salmoniformes; Salmonidae
Exons: 4
Source: RefSeq, a predicted model, not a curated record
GGGAGGGUACUAGGUAGAAAGGGCACCCUGUCUGUCUCAGCUGUAAUACCAGUCCAGGGGAGGGUACUAGGUAGAAAGGGCCCCCUGUCUGUCUCAGCUGUAAUACCAGUCCAGGGGAGGGUACUAGGUAGAAAGGGCCCCCUGUCUGUCUCAGCUGUAAUACCAGUCCAGGGGAGGGUACUAGGUAGAAAGGGCCCCCUGUCUGUCUCAGCUGUAAUACCAGUCCAGGGGAGGGUACUAGGUAGAAAGGGCCCCCUGUCUGUCUCAGCUGUAAUACCAGUCCAGGGGAGGGUACUAGGUAGAAAGGGCCCCCUGUCUGUCUCAGCUGUAAUACCAGUCCAGGGGAGGGUACUAGGUAGAAAGGGCCCCCUGUCUGUCUCAGCUGUAAUACCAGUCCAGGGGAGGGUACUAGGUAGAAAGGGCCCCCUGUCUGUCUCAGCUGUAAUACCAGUCCAGGGGAGGGUACACUAGGAGAUAGGUGGUGACAGACAGACAGGUUGUGUAGUCUAGGACAGGUCAGUUCCACUAGGAGACAGGUGGUGACAGACAGACAGGUUGUGUAAAUGGUGGAGGUUAGGGUCCCGUUAACCACAGUCCUGGAGUCAGAUGUUAACUCCUGUCUCUAUAAAUAGUGGAGGUUAGGGUCCCGUUAACCACAGUCCUGGAGUCAGAUGUUAACUCCUGUCUCUAUAAAUAGUGGAGGUUAGGGCCCAGUUAACCACAGUCCUGGAGU